AAAUGAAUAGACGGGGACCCGCACAAGCAGUGGAUCAUGUGGUUUAAUUCGACAAUAAACGAGGAACCUCACCUAGGCUUGACAUUGAUAGAAAGAAGCAGAAAUGUUUCUGUGCCCGCAAGGGAACUUGAAAACAGGUGCUGCAUGGUUGUCGUCAGCUCGUGCCUUGAGGUGUUCGGUUAAGUCCGUUAACGAGCGCAACCCAUAUCGUAUGUUACUAUGUCAUACGAGACUGCUCGAGUUAAUCGAGAGGAAGGUGUGGAUGACGUCAAAUCAGCAUGGCCCUUAUGCCUAGGGCUACACACAUGAUACAAUGGUCGGUACAAACUGUUGCAACACUGCGAAGUGAAGCCAAUCAGAAAAAGCCGAUCUCAGUCCAGAUUGGAGUCUGCAACUCGACUCCAUGAAGUUGGAAUUGCUAGUAAUCGUGAAUCAGCCAUGUCACGGUGAAUCUGUUCCCGGGUCUUGUACACACCGCCCGU
Molecule: ribosomal RNA, 482 nt
Filed under: uncultured bacterium
Lineage: Bacteria
Description: bacterial SSU rRNA
Rfam family: Bacterial small subunit ribosomal RNA
Source: RNAcentral